UCCAACUUAUCGCUGGCGGUCUCCUGAGAGUGCCCCCUUGCGGGGUUGCAACACAGGACAAGGGUUGCGCUCGUUGCGGGACUUAACCCAACAUCUCACGACACGAGCUGACGACAGCCAUGCAGCACCUCGACUGGACCCCCUUGCGGGGUAGCGAUGUUUCCACCGCCGUUGACCAGCCGUUCGAGCCCAGGUAAGGUGGGGAUGACGUAUUCUACG
RNAcentral lists this unclassified non-coding RNA (219 nucleotides) under uncultured Bryobacterales bacterium. RNAcentral's name for it is "contains 16S-23S intergenic spacer region". Lineage: Bacteria; Pseudomonadati; Acidobacteriota; Terriglobia; Bryobacterales. The record is from RNAcentral.